This 254-nucleotide ribosomal RNA is filed under the name uncultured bacterium. RNAcentral describes it as "partial 16S ribosomal RNA". It matches the Rfam family "Bacterial small subunit ribosomal RNA", at positions 524 to 776 of the family's 1533-position model. The record is from RNAcentral.
GACGUAGGGCGCGAGCGUUGUCCGGAUUUAUUGGGCGUAAAGAGCUCGUAGGCGGCUUGUUACGUCGACUGUGAAAACCCGCGGCUCAACCGUGUGGUCUGCAGUCGAUACGAGCAGGCUAGAGUUCGGUAGGGGAGACUGGAAUUCCUGGUGUAGCGGUGAAAUGCGCAGAUAUCAGGAGGAACACCGGUGGCGAAGGCGGGUCUCUGGGCCGAUACUGACGCUGAGGAGCGAAAGCGUGGGGAGCGAACAGG